GCCGGGGUAGCUCAACUGGGAGAGCUGGGGACUGCAGAUCCUCUGGUCCUGGUUCAAGUCCAGGCCCCGGCUCCA
This 75-nucleotide transfer RNA is filed under the name subsurface metagenome. Its description in RNAcentral is "tRNA-Cys". It matches the Rfam family "tRNA". Rfam says of the family: Transfer RNA (tRNA) molecules are approximately 80 nucleotides in length. The record is from RNAcentral.